GUGACCUCUGUGGUUAGUUCAUCUGGAUUCCGUCAGUAAUAGGGGAAAACAUUAGCUGAUUGUGCACACUAUGUAUGCGGGAGGAGUAGGUUGCUUGAAUGGAGUCACAACGUCAUGGUAAUCUGCUCCUGGCAGAAACUGCGAUGGAUUUGGUUAGUUUUGACUGAGUUUCUGAAUCAGAGCAACCACCGUGUCUUCAGAACACUCAAGGCAUCCCUAUGGAGACAGCUCAAGGCAGCAAACUGAGGCAUCAACCACCAGGCCAGUGAGUAAAUGUGUCUUCAGAUGCAGUCCCAGCUGAAGCCAUGUCUGCAACCUUACCAUGACCCUGAGUCAGAAACAUCCAGCCGAG
Molecule: long non-coding RNA, 352 nt
Filed under: Homo sapiens (human)
Lineage: Eukaryota; Metazoa; Chordata; Mammalia; Primates; Hominidae
Description: HSALNT0085864
Source: RNAcentral